Molecule: long non-coding RNA, 3100 nt
Filed under: Triticum aestivum (bread wheat)
Lineage: Eukaryota; Viridiplantae; Streptophyta; Magnoliopsida; Poales; Poaceae
Description: long non-coding RNA (TAES_LNC027376)
Source: RNAcentral
GGCCCUCGAAGGCUCGAAUACAAGCUCGAUACACAAGAGUCAGCGGAAGCAACAAUAUCUGAGUACAAACAUAAGUUAAACAAGGAUGCCUUAAAAAUGCUAACACAAAAGCAACGCGAUCGAAGAGGCAAGGCCUCCUGCCUAGGACCUCCUAACUACUCCUGGUCGUCGGCGGUCUCCAUGUAGUAGCAUCCAUCGGUGGUGGCAUCUGGCUCCAGGGAUCCACCAUCUAGUUGCAUCAACCAAAAAGAAGAAAGAAGGGGGGAAAGGGGUAGCAAAGCAACCGUGAGUACUCAUCCAAAGUACUCGAAGCAUCAGAUCUAUACUAAGUAUGCAUUGGUAUCAAAUGGAAGGGUUGUAUUUGUGGACUGAACUGCAGAAUGCCAGAAUAGAGGGGGAAGGCCUAGCCUAUCAAAGACUAGCAUCUUCAAGCAGCUCCAAGCAUCUUGCAGCAUGUAGAAGAGUAAAGAAUAGCAGUUUAUAUUUAACAAACAUGUUGUAGUAUCAAUGCCCAGAGAUCCUUCCUCGACUCCCUACGAGAAAGCAAUCCCGUAGCCACAUAUCCAUCACAUAUCUCAAGUAUCCAGUUCUAGUUAUAUAAGAUCCGGAUACAAGUCUGAACAUCCAUUACCAUGGACACGGUAUUCGAAUAUAUGUCUUCCCUGCAGGGGUGCACCACGUUACCCAACACGCUCAAUCAUUCUGGUCGCACACACCUUUUUGGGGUCAAUGCCCGGCCUCGGAAGAUCAACACGUCGCAGCCCUACCUAGGCUCGGCAGAGAGGUCCCCGCCGGUCUACCUCCUAAGCACUCCGGGGUCUGGUCCCAUCGCCUGUUGCACUAUGAGUCGUUGCGAGCAGGGUGGACUAGGCUCCACCACUACAGGAUGGUGCCGGCCCAGCCGUGCCGCACUGCUGAACUGGACGAACAAAGCUUCGGCUGAUACCACGACGUCGAGGCCCAUAUCUAUUCUCGCGUGGUGGUUAGUGCGUAAAGGCCAGAGGCCAACUCAGAACAAAUACCCAAACCUGUUAGUUCAUUGGGGGCUCGCGGAGACGAGCAGAGACUCACGAUAAUGUGACCCCGUCGCCCUGUCUCGUGGAUUUACAGCAAGGGCCUAGAUUGCCCGACCGUGCCACGUGGAAAACUCGCGGGUGCUCUACGGGCCCGCCUGACUUUCACAUCAACUCGCGGGUACCCCUCAGGGCCGACCCGACUUCAACAAUGGUCUCAAGUAAGUCAAGGUAACCGUGUGUCCAAACAUCAAGGGGAAAACCCGAGGAAUCACCCCCGGUGGAUUCCACUCAAUGUAAUCAUCAAGGUGAACGUAAGAGGGACCACCCUCGAGGUUCACACUUGGGGUUUUGAACGACAGAGCCAUAUCGGGAAUGGUGAAAGAGGAAAUCACCCUCGAUGACCACAACGAAUAGCUACACUACAAAAUUAUCAUCAGGAGUGCGUUAUGAGGGAUCACCCUCGACACUCGAUAGUAGCUCUGCAGAGUCGGGCAACAAAAGGGGCAUGAUGUGAUGUGACGUGUCAGGCUCUAGUCAUCGAUCACGUUGAUCGAGUCGUCGAAGAUGAAGCAGGGGCAACACCGACAAGGUGGGAGUCAUUAAUGGAUCACUAACCAACCUAUACUAAGCAGUUUAGGAUAAGCAGGUAGGUAACAAUAGCAGGCACAAAAGCAGGCUAUGCAUCAAAAUAGGAGCAAUCAAUAACAAUAGCAAAAUCUAAUGCAAGCAUGAGAGUAUAGAAUGGGAGAUAUCGGGAUGAUCAAAGGGGGGGCUUGCCUGGUUGCUCAGACAAGAAAGAGGGUCGUUGUCGACGUAGUCGAUCACAGGGACAUAAGCAUCGGUCUCGGGGUCUACCGGAGAUAAGAGGGGGAAGAAACAGUAAAUGCACACAAACAUAUGCAUAACAAGACAAUAAGCGGUGGUAGAGGUGUUCUAACGCAGUGCUAGGAGAUACUGACGAAGGGGAAAACAUCCGGGAAAGUUUUCCCGGUUCUGGACGUCUGUCAGACAAAUGAACCGGAGGGUAAAGGUAGCAUGUUCGCUAUGCUAGGGAUGUGUGGCAGACGAACGAAGGGCGUAUUCGGAUUCGUCUCGUCGUUCUGACCAACUUUCAUGUAUAAAAACCUUUUCAUCCGAGUUACGGUUUAUUUUAUAUUAAUUUUCAAAGUUUUAAUUGAUUUCAUGGAAUUAUUAUUAAAUCUAAAAUGGGGUUAUUGCAUCAGCAUGACAUCAUCAGGGUCAACAGUCAACCUUGACUGGGUUGACUAGUCAAAAGGAGUAGUGGGGCCCAUCUGUUAUAGUCACCUUAGCUAAUCUACUAAUAGAUUAUUUAACUAAACAAGGUGAUUAAACUAAUUAAUCCUAAUUAGACCUAAUUAAACCAAGUUAAUUAAGUUAAUUGUUUUUUAUUAAAUUAUUUUUCUUUCUCUUUUUUUUUAAACAAAACAAGGGAGAGGGCCCCAGCUGCCAGUGGCACAAAAGCCACUGGAGCGGGCUUAACGGGCGCGGGCGAGGGGUGCCCGUCGGGGCAGACCCAGGCGACGACCACAGCCGUUCUGGGUGCGGGGGCGCCGGUGCGGUGCGGCGCGGCCGGCGGCCUCGGCCGGCUGGAGCAGGCGCUGCGGGGCGUGGGUUGCAGCAGCAGUGGGGGCGACGGGAGGUAGACACGUCCGGCGGAACGGUCGUGGCCAGGCGCGGUGCGGGGCACGCGCAGGACGAGUGGGGGCGGCCGGGGAGAACUGGGCCAUCAGGCGGAGCCGGAGCACGAACACGUCGGCGGAGAUCUACGGUUACCACGGGAGAGUACGGAGAGAGAGAGAGGGGACGGUGCUCACGGCGGAGCUGUAGGGGGGUGGCAGCGGGCUCGUUGGAGCCGUUGGGGAGGACGACAGGGACGGUCCAGCGGCGUCGUGGCUCCGGCGAGGAGGGCUCCGAGGCGAUGUGCGGCCGACGCGAGGUGGUCCGGCGCGUCGGGGAGACGAGCGGCGGCGUCCAGCGACGGGGGCGUCGGCCGCCGUCGGGGCAUAGGAGAGGUUGGGAGGAUCCGGCGAUGGGGCGUCCGGUGACGGGGUCGAUGGGAGGCG